GGGGAUUUGGGUCAAUGGUAGAACAUUUGCCUGGCAUGUAUGAGGCCUUGGGUGCCAUUCCCAGCACCCCA
Molecule: transfer RNA, 71 nt
Filed under: Marmota monax (woodchuck)
Lineage: Eukaryota; Metazoa; Chordata; Mammalia; Rodentia; Sciuridae
Description: tRNA.Ala
Source: RNAcentral